AUUUAUUGGAAUCUUGUGUAUUCCUUUCUUUUCCUCAUAUUGAAUUACUAAUAACCUAUUCAUACAAAUUUAUAAAUCUAUGCCUAACGGAUUUAAGAGCUCACAAAAAAACAAAAUUAAUAACAAAAAAAAAUAUUAUCCUUAAAAAAUAUUCAAAUAUAGGCCCAUUUGCUGAAACUAGUCAUAAAUUUUGAUCUUAGCUAGGCCAAACAUAGGUCUUAUGUUUAACUUAGUUUAUUCUAAGUUUCUAAAAAAUAUUUAUGAUCGACCUAGCAAUGAUUUACUUUCAUGCGAGAAAUCCCUGAGAACUUCAAAUUAAUUUGUCAAAUCGAUAAAAACGUCAGUUAGUUUUUAUUUGUUUUUGAGAAAUUUUAGAAAAAAAAUUGUUAAGAAUGCCUUUAAAUUAAUGUAAAAAGCAAAUGUGUUUGUGUUUUGUAAACGUAUGCGUGUGUCUAAAUUAGUGUUGGAAAAAAACAACAAAAGGGUGAACAUUCUCUCAAAAUAUUUUUCAGUGUAUUUUUGCAUUCGCAGAUGGUUGGAAUUUAUAAAAAAAUAUUUCAAAGCGGCCAAAAUCCAAAAGAAAAAAAAAACUAUUUCGAUGUUCUUGCAGAAGAAAUACAUAUGGAGAAAAUAUGCAGCUUGAAGGCAUUUUUAUACAAAUACUUGUUUUCAACUUGUAAUAAUUAAUACCUAACAAUGGCAUGAA
Molecule: long non-coding RNA, 706 nt
Organism: Episyrphus balteatus (marmalade hoverfly)
Lineage: Eukaryota; Metazoa; Arthropoda; Insecta; Diptera; Syrphidae
Exons: 3
Source: RefSeq, a predicted model, not a curated record